GAUGAACGCUGGCGGCGUGCCUAAUACAUGCAAGUCGAGCGAACAGACGAGGAGCUUGCUCCUCUGACGUUAGCGGCGGACGGGUGAGUAACACGUGGAUAACCUACCUAUAAGACUGGGAUAACUUCGGGAAACCGGAGCUAAUACCGGAUAAUAUAUUGAACCGCAUGGUUCAAUAGUGAAAGACGGUUUUGCUGUCACUUAUAGAUGGAUCCGCGCCGCAUUAGCUAGUUGGUAAGGUAACAGCUUACCAAGGCAACGAUGCGUAGCCGACCUGAGAGGGUGAUCGGCCACACUGGAACUGAGACACGGUCCAGACUCCUACGGGAGGCAGCAGUAGGGAAUCUUCCGCAAUGGGCGAAAGCCUGACGUAGCAAAGCCGCGUGAGUGAUGAUGGUCUUCGGAUCGUAAAACUCUGUUAUUAGGGAAGAACAAAUGUGUAAGUAACUAUGCACGUCUUGACGGUACCUAAGCAGAAAGCCACGGCUAACUACGUG
RNAcentral lists this ribosomal RNA (497 nucleotides) under uncultured bacterium. RNAcentral's name for it is "partial 16S ribosomal RNA". It matches the Rfam family "Bacterial small subunit ribosomal RNA", at positions 28 to 507 of the family's 1533-position model. The record is from RNAcentral.